GAUGAACGCUGGCGGUGUGCCUAAUACAUGCAAGUCGAGCGAACAGAUGAGGAGCUUGCUCCUCUGACGUUAGCGGCGGACGGGUGAGUAACACGUGGAUAACCUACCUAUAAGACUGGGAUAACUUCGGGAAACCGGAGCUAAUACCGGAUAAUAUAUUGAACCGCAUGGUUCAAUAGUGAAAGACGGUUUUGCUGUCACUUAUAGAUGGAUCCGCGCCGCAUUAGCUAGUUGGUAAGGUAACGGCUUACCAAGGCAACGAUGCGUAGCCGACCUGAGAGGGUGAUCGGCCACACUGGAACUGAGACACGGUCUAGACUCCUACGGGAGGCAGCAGUAGGGAAUCUUCCGCAAAGGGCGAAAGCCUGACGGAGCAACGCCGCGUGAGUGAUGAAGGUCUUCGGAUCGUAAAACUCUGUUAUUAGGGAAGAACAAAUGUGUAAGUAACUAUGCACGUCUUGACGGUACCUAAUCAGAAAGCCACGGCUAACUACGUG
Molecule: ribosomal RNA, 497 nt
Filed under: uncultured bacterium
Lineage: Bacteria
Description: partial 16S ribosomal RNA
Rfam family: Bacterial small subunit ribosomal RNA
Source: RNAcentral